RNAcentral lists this ribosomal RNA (516 nucleotides) under Roseburia sp. 831b. RNAcentral's name for it is "bacterial LSU rRNA". It matches the Rfam family "Bacterial large subunit ribosomal RNA", at positions 2408 to 2925 of the family's 2925-position model. The record is from RNAcentral. Lineage: Bacteria; Bacillati; Bacillota; Clostridia; Lachnospirales; Lachnospiraceae.
GGACUUAGUGAUCCGGUGGCAUAAAGUGGGAUUGCCAUCGCUCAACGGAUAAAAGCUACCCUGGGGAUAACAGGCUUAUCACUCCCAAGAGUUCACAUCGACGGAGUGGUUUGGCACCUCGAUGUCGGCUCAUCGCAUCCUGGGGCUGUAGCAGGUCCCAAGGGUUGGGCUGUUCGCCCAUUAAAGCGGUACGCGAGCUGGGUUCAGAACGUCGUGAGACAGUUCGGUCCCUAUCCGGCGCGGGCGGAGGAUAUUUGAGAGGAGCUGUCCUUAGUACGAGAGGACCGGGAUGGACGAACCACUGGUGUAUCUGCUGUCGACCAACGGCAUGGCAGAGUAGCCAAGUUCGGAAGGGAUAAACGCUGAAGGCAUCUAAGCGUGAAGCCCCCCUCAAGAUGAGAUAUCCCUCCUUCGGGAGUAAGACCCCUUGAAGACUACAAGGUAGAUAGGGCAGAGAUGGAAGCAUGGCAACAUGUGCAGUUGACUGUCACUAAUAGGUCGAGGGCUUGACCAAAA